Molecule: ribosomal RNA, 331 nt
Filed under: uncultured Pseudomonadota bacterium
Lineage: Bacteria; Pseudomonadati; Pseudomonadota
Description: bacterial SSU rRNA
Rfam family: Bacterial small subunit ribosomal RNA
Source: RNAcentral
CGCGUAGGCGGUUAUAUAAGUGAGAUGUGAAAUCCCUGGGCUUAACCUAGGAACUGCAUCUUAUACUGUAUAGCUGGAGUAUUGUAGAGGGUAGUGGAAUUUCCGGUGUAGCGGUGAAAUGCGUAGAGAUCGGAAGGAACACCAGUGGCGAAGGCGGCUACCUGGACAAAUACUGACGCUGAGGCGCGAGAGCGUGGGGAGCAAACAGGAUUAGAUACCCUGGUAGUCCACGCUGUAAACGAUGAGAACUAGAUGUUGGUAGGCAUGACCUAUUAGUAUCGAAGCUAACGCGAUAAGUUCUCCGCCUGGGGAGUACGGCCGCAAGGUUAAA